Molecule: ribosomal RNA, 443 nt
Filed under: uncultured bacterium
Lineage: Bacteria
Description: partial 16S ribosomal RNA
Rfam family: Bacterial small subunit ribosomal RNA
Source: RNAcentral
CCUACGGGAGGCAGCAGUGGGGAAUAUUGGGCAAUGGGCGCAAGCCUGACCCAGCAACGCCGCGUGAAGGAAGAAGGCUUUCGGCUUGUAAACUUCUUUUAUCAGGGACGAAGCAAGUGACGGUACCUUAUGAAUAAGCCUCGGCUAACUACGUGCCAGCAGCCGCGGUAAUACGUAGGUGGCAAGCGUUAUCCGGAUUUACUGGGUGUAAAGGGCGUGUAGGUGGUAGUGCAAGUCAGAUGUGAAAAGUAGGGGCUCCACCCAUAGCCUGCAUUUGAAACUGUACUUCUUGAGUGCUGGAGAGGCAAUCGGAAUGCCGUGUGUAGCGGUGAAAUGCGUAGAUAUACGGAGGAACACCAGUGGCGAAGGCGAAUUGCUGGACAGUAACUGACGCUGAGGCACGAAAGCGUGGGGAGCAAACAGGAUUAGAUACCCGAGUAGUC